This 791-nucleotide long non-coding RNA is filed under the name Neogale vison (American mink). RNAcentral's name for it is "Neovison vison (American mink) lncRNA (ENSNVIG00000017160.1)". The record is from RNAcentral. Lineage: Eukaryota; Metazoa; Chordata; Mammalia; Carnivora; Mustelidae.
AUUUUGGAAAACAGUCUCCUAGAAUGUUUUAAUGCUCGAAAGUAGUUUCUCUAUUCACAUCAUCAAGUGUUUAGCUUAGUUGUUUAUGGAAUGCCUUGUUUUUAUUUCCAGAAAUAGAAGAAAACUGUUUUAUUUCUUCCAAAGUAUUGUCUAUAAAUUCAAAUUAUGAGCAAGUGAAGGUAGUGCCUUUAGCCUCUUAUUAGUUUAAGGAUCUGAAUCAUAACCUGGGCGACCACUAAAAUAAUAUCAUAGUCCUUUACUUCAAAUUUCUGAAUGCAAAAACAAUAGCAAGAGGGAUGCUGCUGAUUAUAUUACCCUUGGCUCACCCAGCACUUAAUACCCUUUAACAUAAGUAUUGCAUUAAGAUUUCCCCCCUCUCUUUGUAGCUCAUGAUUUCCUGGAAGCUGGCUGUCCAUCAGUGGUGUAUAUAAGAUGUAAUCUACAGUUCAUAAUGGAGCUACUGUACUGGCUAUCGGAAGGAGGAGAUUCAGAAGAUAGGGAGAUUCAGCUGUCGGGGUUUGAAACUUCCUGUGGUCUGUUCAAUCUAGACGCAAAGGACCUGAAACAGUCAAGUGCUCAAGAGGUUUAAAUUGUUUUGGAUAUUCCUAUUUAUAGACAAAAAUAUUUUUCCAAUUCAGAUCCUCAGUUGUUUUGCAGAAGAAGGUCAUACUCUUCUUGAUCAUCCAUUUUAUUUGAAGUGAUUAGUAUUGUAGAGUAUUACCAAACACUUUCUGUUUAAAUCUAAGUAUAGAAAAAAUAAAAUCGUUUCUAUAUGUUGACUUUUUUUCUAA